Molecule: long non-coding RNA, 1427 nt
Filed under: Oryctolagus cuniculus (rabbit)
Lineage: Eukaryota; Metazoa; Chordata; Mammalia; Lagomorpha; Leporidae
Description: lncRNA (ENSOCUG00000038092.1)
Source: RNAcentral
UGAUUUCUGGUGAGAACUAAUACCUUGGAGGAGGGAGCCAAUGCAAACUUGGGAGGGAAACGUAAAAAGUGUGGAACUCUCAGAAUUAAAUGUUCUGGCUGUGAGGUUUGUCUUAGUUCCUGAGAGUGAAUCCCCUUAGUCUGCAUCUCCGGAGAGUGAUCCCCAAAGUCUGGGAACCUGCGUUUGGUGUCCCUUGAUACUGUGGGAUAAAUAGGUUGUUUCCUUUUAAUUGCACUUAGUACACCAGUUUAGAAAUUAUGUGCCAUGAUUCCAUGUUAGACAUAUAUACCCUUGCAUAGAUCCCUAAUAUACAGUAAUAAAACCUGAAAGGAAGACAAUUGUUGACAUCUUUGUUUCCUGCUAAAUUUGAAUAAGAAUGUUAACAUCCAUAGAACGAAUAUUCAGGAAAAUAUAGGGGCCUUGGUCAGUUCAGGUAUUUUCCCAAUCUCUUCUACUUCUGCCCCUGAGAGGAAAGUCCUGGUUCUUUGAAGUUUUUGUUUGCUUACUUUCUGUUUCUCUAAACCAUGAGUUUUACUAGCUUUGUUGGGUAUUUGUGACAAUAGCUUUCUUGAUUUUUGUUCCUCAUCUGCUAAUUCUUGGCCUUUUUGGUUACAUUAUGGCAAAAUGCUGUCAUGUUAUAGAUUGUGUAUAGACUGUACUUCUGUAGGAAAUAUUGAUAGUUAAAAUGGAUUGUCUAUCUUUGCUUCCAUAUCUACUGAUUUUUGUGCUUUUUCAACACUUGAAGUGACCUUAUUUAUUUAUUUUCUCCAUCUAGUGUUAGCUGAUGUUUCUGCACAAUGACAUAUGGAUAACUAUUACUUACCCUUGGUUGGGUAUUUAUACCGUUGUAUUUAUUUGUUCUGAUAAGCACUGGGCAAUCCUUGCAGUUUUGUAAGCAUUUUUCUUAAAUAUUCGGAUGCUCUAUCUAUGAACACUGAUAUGAAACACUGUACUAUCCUCAUAGAAAAUGAAUCUGAUAUUGCGAUUCCUCUGGCUUUGUUUUGUUCUUUUAGUUUGUAUUUAUUUGUUCUGAUAAACACUGGGCAAUCCUUGCAGUUUUGUAAGCAUUUUUCUUAAAUAUUCUGAUGCUCUAUCUAUGAAUGCUGAUAUGAAACACUGUACUAUCCUCAUAGAAAAUGAUCUGCUCAUCUCACUGUGUAACCCUUUUAAAUUUUCUGACACAAAUCCUGAUUAACCUGAAGUGCAUAUUGCUUUUCCAGGCUUCAAUGUAAUGGUGUUAUAAUGGACCAUGUUUCUGCAUAUUUUCUAUUUAAUCAUUUUAUAUCUUCUUUCUAUUUUACUUUUGAAAUCUGUACAUAUGUUUCUUAGGUUCACAAAAAUGUAAUGUAUUCAGCACAUAAAAUUGGUUUGGAACACUAUUUCUCUGGAAGCUCAGAUAUCUUAUAAAAGAACGUUCUCAACUCUUU